UACGUAGGGUGCGAGCGUUGAUCGGAAUUACUGGGCGUAAAGCGUGCGCAGGCGGUUUUGUAAGCCAGAUGUGAAAGCCCCGGGCUUAACCUGGGAAUGGCAUUUGGGACUGCAAGGCUAGAGUGCGGCAGAGGAGACUGGAAUUCCUGGUGUAGCAGUGAAAUGCGUAGAUAUCAGGAGGAAUACCGAUGGCGAAGGCAGGUCUCUGGGCUGACACUGACGCUCAUGCACGAAAGCGUGGGGAGCAAACAGG
This 253-nucleotide ribosomal RNA is filed under the name uncultured bacterium. Its description in RNAcentral is "partial 16S ribosomal RNA". It matches the Rfam family "Bacterial small subunit ribosomal RNA", at positions 524 to 776 of the family's 1533-position model. The record is from RNAcentral.